UUAAGUGACUAAGCGUACAAGGUGGAUGCCUUGGCAAUCAGAGGCGACGAAGGACGUGCUAAUCUGCGAAAAGCUUGGAUGAGUCGAUAAGAGGCGUUUAAUCCAAGAUGUCCGAAUGGGGAAACCCAGUAGAUGAAGAAUCUACUAUCACUUACUGAAUCCAUAGGUAAGUGAGGCAAACCGGGAGAACUGAAACAUCUAAGUACCCCGAGGAAAAGAAAUCAACCGAGAUUUCGUUAGUAGCGGCGAGCGAACGCGAAGGAGCCUGUUAGUGAUAAUGACAGAGACAGAGGAACAAGCUGGGAAGCUUGGCGAUACAGGGUGAUAGCCCCGUACUCGAAGUCCAGGUCAUGGUACUAAGCUAACGAUAAGUAGGGCGGGACACGUGAUAUCCUGUUUGAAGAUGGGGGGACCAUCCUCCAAGGCUAAAUACUCCUGAUUGACCGAUAGUGAACCAGUACUGUGAAGGAAAGGCGAAAAGAACCCCGGUGAGGGGAGUGAAAUAGAACCUGAAACCUUGUACGUACAAGCAGUGGGAGCCCUUUAAGGGUGACUGCGUACCUUUUGUAUAAUGGGUCAGCGACUUAUAUUUUGUAGCGAGGUUAACCGAAUAGGGGAGCCGAAGGGAAACCGAGUCUUAACUGGGCGUCUAGUUGCAAGGUAUAGACCCGAAACCCGGUGAUCUAGCCAUGGGCAGGUUGAAGGUUGGGUAACACUAACUGGAGGACCGAACCGACUAAUGUUGAAAAAUUAGCGGAUGACUUGUGGCUGGGGGUGAAAGGCCAAUCAAACCGGGAGAUAGCUGGUUCUCCCCGAAAUCUAUUUAGGUAGAGCCUUGAGUGGACACCUUCGGGGGUAGAGCACUGUUUCGGCUAGGGGUCCAUCCCGGAUUACCAACCCGAUGCAAACUACGAAUACCGAAGAGUGAUACUCAGGAGACACACGGCGGGUGCUAACGUCCGUCGUGGAGAGGGAAACAACCCAGACCGCCAGCUAAGGUCCCAAAGUCUAUAUUAAGUGGGAAACGAAGUGGGAAGGCUUAGACAGCUAGGAUGUUGGCUUAGAAGCAGCCAUCAUUUAAAGAAAGCGUAAUAGCUCACUAGUCGAGUCGGCCUGCGCGGAAGAUGUAACGGGGCUCAAAUAUAGCACCGAAGCUGCGGCAUCAGACGAAAGUCUGUUGGGUAGGGGAGCGUUCUGUAAGCGGAUGAAGGUGGUUCGAGAGGGCUGCUGGACGUAUCAGAAGUGCGAAUGCUGACAUAAGUAACGAUAAAACGGGUGAAAAACCCGUUCGCCGGAAGACCAAGGGUUCCUGUCCAACGUUAAUCGGGGCAGGGUGAGUCGGCCCCUAAGGCGAGGCUGAAAAGCGUAGUCGAUGGGAAACGGGUUAAUAUUCCCGUACUUGGAUAAACUGCGAUGUGGGGACGGAGCAGGUUAGGUUAUCGCACUGUUGGAUAUGUGCGUUUAAGUUUGUAGGUGUGAAGUUUAGGCAAAUCCGGACUUCUUUAACACUGAGAGAUGAUGACGAGGCUCUACGGAGCUGAAGUAACCGAUACCACACUUCCAGGAAAAGCCACUAAGCUUCAGGUUUAUCUAAACCGUACUGAAAACCGACACAGGUGGUCAGGUAGAGAAUACUCAGGCGCUUGAGAGAACUCGGGUGAAGGAACUAGGCAAAAUAGCACCGUAACUUCGGGAGAAGGUGCGCCGGCGUAGAUUGUAGUCCCUUGCGGGCGAAGGUUGAACCGGUCGAAGAUACCAGCUGGCUGCAACUGUUUAUUAAAAACACAGCACUCUGCAAACACGAAAGUGGACGUAUAGGGUGUGAUGCCUGCCCGGUGCUGGAAGGUUAAUUGAUGGUGUAAUCGAAAGAGAAGCUCCUGAUCGAAGCCCCAGUAAACGGCGGCCGUAACUAUAACGGUCCUAAGGUAGCGAAAUUCCUUGUCGGGUAAGUUCCGACCUG
RNAcentral lists this ribosomal RNA (1960 nucleotides) under human gut metagenome. Its description in RNAcentral is "bacterial LSU rRNA". It matches the Rfam family "Bacterial large subunit ribosomal RNA", at positions 1 to 1990 of the family's 2925-position model. The record is from RNAcentral.